CAGACAUUAACCAUGGCUGUUCAGAAGAAAAGUCAUAUUUCAAUUUUAAAAUGGAGGACAACAGAUGAACUAAAAAUUUGCCGUGGCUUUUGGAGAAGCUGUCAUCUGAACUUACUUCAUCCCUCACCACCCCCUGAAAAUAUCCUCAGCAUAAAUUCUGUUCAACCUAGUUUUUCUGGAUGGAUGGUUCCAUUAUGUGUCUGAGCGCAGCUGCAGAAUGAGCCCAGUAUUGUCAGGUGUCUGUGUGAGACGGCACACGUAGGAGUCCCUGAGGAGAUGCUGACUGUCUCUGUCUGCCUGUCUGGAAGAUUGUGUGAGCGGAUGAUGCAUUGCCUCUGUGUUUGUGCCCUUGGUUCAGCUGUCUGUCUCUCACAUGUAAAGGCAAUAAUCAAACACCUGACUUUGUGGAGAAGUGAGUGACCUCUUGAAAAAAAAA
This is a non-coding RNA of Danio rerio (zebrafish), 436 nucleotides long. Lineage: Eukaryota; Metazoa; Chordata; Actinopteri; Cypriniformes; Danionidae. The record is from Ensembl.